CGAUAUUGAUAACCCAAUAGCAUUUUAUCGGUUCGAGCUAUCGAUUAUACCCAAUAUAUGCCUAGCCCUAGAUUUAUCUCAUCCCAAAAAUUGGACACCGAGAAUUUGUCAAGUCUUGAUCUAGAAAAAGAAUCUUCCGAUCUAGACUGAGUGAAUCUGGCAACUGUUAAAGGAAGGUAAACAAGAAACUGGUUAUCGAUAAACUCCAAAAACUCCUACAUAG
RNAcentral lists this long non-coding RNA (223 nucleotides) under Nicotiana benthamiana. RNAcentral's name for it is "long non-coding RNA (NBEN_LNC004432)". Lineage: Eukaryota; Viridiplantae; Streptophyta; Magnoliopsida; Solanales; Solanaceae. The record is from RNAcentral.